This 492-nucleotide ribosomal RNA is filed under the name uncultured bacterium. RNAcentral describes it as "partial 16S ribosomal RNA". It matches the Rfam family "Bacterial small subunit ribosomal RNA", at positions 29 to 507 of the family's 1533-position model. The record is from RNAcentral.
AGUGAACGCUGGCGGUAGGCCUAACACAUGCAAGUCGAACGGCAGCACAGUAAGAGCUUGCUCUUACGGGUGGCGAGUGGCGGACGGGUGAGGAAUACAUCGGAAUCUACUUUUUCGUGGGGGAUAACGUAGGGAAACUUACGCUAAUACCGCAUACGACCUACGGGUGAAAGCAGGGGAUCUUCGGACCUUUCGCGAUUGAAUGAGCCGAUGUCGGGUUAGCUAGUUGGCGGGGUAAAGGCCCACCAAGGCGACGAUCCGUAGCUGGUCUGAGAGGAUGGUCGGCCACAGGUGAACUGAAACAGGGUCCAGACUCAUACGGGAGGCAGCAGUAGGGAAUCGUCGGGAAGGGGCGAAAGCCUGACGAAGCAACGCCGCGGGAGUGAAGAAGGUCUUCUUAUCGUAAAACUGUGUUAUGAGGGAAGAACAAAUGUGUAAGUAACUAUGCAGGUCGUGACGGUACCUAAUCAGAAGGCAACGGCUAACUACGUG